RNAcentral lists this long non-coding RNA (1145 nucleotides) under Ananas comosus (pineapple). RNAcentral's name for it is "long non-coding RNA (ACOM_LNC001488)". Lineage: Eukaryota; Viridiplantae; Streptophyta; Magnoliopsida; Poales; Bromeliaceae. The record is from RNAcentral.
CCCACUGUAUCUAAGGCAUGUUCAAAAUUCAAAACCUAAUUGCUUCAUAUUUUUAGCUUAGUUCAUUUCAGAACAAAGCAAAUAAUUUGCCAUCUCUCUCUCUCUCAAAAAAAGAAAUAUUUGACUAUAAAAAGAAGGUUAGUUAAGGCUAUGAAAACAAAAGAGGCAAUUGUUUAUAUACCUCUGAAAAGUUCACGACUUUUUGAUUUACCCUUUUAGGCUUCGUUCGGGAUUGCAGAAAGAUUGCGUUACGUGCGGUAAGAAAGUACGUUGAAAAAAUACUCUGUUUAUUUUCGUACGUAAUAUUGCAUUUCGCAUAUCGCGAUGAGUCAGUUACGAUAUAUUUUCUGCGGUCCCAUCGGGGAAUGCAGAAGUAUAUCCCUAUAUGCUUUUUUUCCAACUCCAUUUUAUCUAAUAGCGUUUGAUAGGCCUCAAUACCAAACUAAGCCUUAGAAGGUUAAUAUUAAAAAUACCCUUUUUACCCCUAGAGUUAAAUUUUGUUAAUAAACUGUUAGCAACAGCUGUUAUCUCUAUAAAAUUACUAUUUUGCCCUUUUAAAUAUACCCUUCUACUAUCACCAACAUUUCUUAUUUGUCCUUAAAGUCAGAGUAUAAAAGGUAUUUUAAUUUUUGGUCUUUUCAAAUAUACUAUUCUACUAUCACCAAUAUUUUUUAUUUGCUCUUAAGUUAAGGGUAAAAGAGACAUUUUGAUUUUUUUUUAACUCUGGUAGGUAUCUAACUCACGUUUAACCCAAGUUAACUUAACGAGUGGUAACUGCAAAGCUAUUUUAGAAUGACGGAGGAACAUAAGAGGGAUAUAUUGAAAAGAAAAAAAAAAGUAGAGGCAAAUAAGAUAUUUUCGAAGUUUCGUGAGUUAUAUAGACAAUUAUCCCAAAACAAAAAUAUAGAAAUGCUUCUGCAACUAUACAUCAACAUAUGCCGACCGUACCUAGCACAGUUGGCUAUAGACUUGAUGAUUGAUACAUGAAAUCUUAAAUUUAAAGCCUAGUUAUUUUACAUUUCUAGCUGAAUUCAUCUAUAAAUAAUAAACAAAGCAGGUAACUUGCAUUCUCUCUCUCUCUCUCUCUAAAAAAACAAAAAAACAAAAAAAAAAAAAACACUAUCCAUCAAUAGAAAACUCUACUA